This 256-nucleotide long non-coding RNA is filed under the name Vigna radiata. RNAcentral's name for it is "long non-coding RNA (VRAD_LNC010430)". Lineage: Eukaryota; Viridiplantae; Streptophyta; Magnoliopsida; Fabales; Fabaceae. The record is from RNAcentral.
GUUGCAAAAUUAAUUGAUAUUGAAAAAAAUUUGAAUACUUAUAUACUACAAUUGAGCAAGGUCUCUUUUGCAAUAAUCUAAUAUUAUUACGACAUUGAAGCAAAACAAGAUCGAAACAGGUAAGGAAAAACUGGAAAACUCAUGUAAUUUUUGUACUGUUGUUUGUACGUGUUUCAAGAGAAAAAAAGGAAAACCCUGAUUUAUAUAAGGUUCCUGUAAAACAAAAAGAAAAAAAAAAAUCCUAACUAACCACCGA